UACGGGGGGGGCAAGCGUUGUUCGGAAUUACUGGGCGUAAAGGGCUUGUAGGUGGCCAACUAAGUCAGACGUGAAAUCCCUCAGCUUAACUGGGGAACUGCUUCUGAUACUGGAUGGCUUGAGUUUGGGAGAGGGAUGCGGAAUUCCAGGUGUAGCGGUGAAAUGCGUAGAUAUCUGGAGGAACACCGGUGGCGAAGGCGGCAUCCUGGACCAACACUGACACUGAGGCGCGAAAGCUAGGGGAGCAAACAGG
RNAcentral lists this ribosomal RNA (253 nucleotides) under uncultured bacterium. RNAcentral describes it as "partial 16S ribosomal RNA". It matches the Rfam family "Bacterial small subunit ribosomal RNA", at positions 524 to 776 of the family's 1533-position model. The record is from RNAcentral.